RNAcentral lists this ribosomal RNA (253 nucleotides) under uncultured bacterium. Its description in RNAcentral is "partial 16S ribosomal RNA". It matches the Rfam family "Bacterial small subunit ribosomal RNA", at positions 524 to 776 of the family's 1533-position model. The record is from RNAcentral.
UACGUAGGGGGCAAGCGUUGUCCGGAAUCAUUGGGCGUAAAGCGCGCGUAGGCGGCCCGGUCAGUCCGUUGUGAAAGUCAAAGGCUCAACCUUUGAAUGCCGACGGAUACUGCCGGGCUAGAGUCCGGAAGAGGCGAGUGGAAUUCCUGGUGUAGCGGUGGAAUGCGCAGAUAUCAGGAGGAACACCUAUAGCGAAGGCAGCUCGCUGGGACGGUACUGACGCUAAGGCGCGAAAGCGUGGGGAGCGAACAGG